UCAGAUAGUCAUGAUAUAUUGUUAGACAUCAAUUUUAACUUAUGGACUCAUCAGAAUUAAAAGAAUUUAAUUCUAGAAUUAAUUAGAAAGAGUCCUAGUUGAUUGAGACUCUUGAGCUGACCUAAUUUAAUCGGAUUAGGGUUAUGUCGAGAGUCUGGAUCCAUUACUGGCUAGAUUUGGAAUCUAAUAGGUUACACACAAUAGAGAUUUGGUCUUGAUCCAAUCUAUUUAGAUUUAUUAUAAAUCUAAUGGGUUAAUUGAAUUUUUAGCACAUGAGUUAAUCCAAGUUCCCAAUUGGGUUCAGUGCAAAGGAGUUUGUGCUAACCCUUGACUUGUUGCCUUGACCUAAUGUGAUUGGGUUUGAACCAUCUAAUUGUUAGGUGGCUGAUCUAAUUUUUAUGAAAGAGUUCAUAAGUAAUCAACCUCCUCCACACCAAAACCACAC
This 445-nucleotide long non-coding RNA is filed under the name Elaeis guineensis (African oil palm). RNAcentral describes it as "long non-coding RNA (EGUI_LNC061247)". Lineage: Eukaryota; Viridiplantae; Streptophyta; Magnoliopsida; Arecales; Arecaceae. The record is from RNAcentral.